Malaya genurostris is the source of this 788-nucleotide long non-coding RNA. RefSeq lists it as uncharacterized. The transcript is spliced from 4 exons. The record is from RefSeq and is a predicted model, not a curated record. NCBI's taxonomy places the organism in Eukaryota, Metazoa, Arthropoda, Insecta, Diptera, Culicidae.
UUAUUUUUAUGAAAAAGACGUUUUGAUUUGUCUGCAAAUCGAUAGCCAGAAAUACAAAUCCCCCGAAGUUCGGAACAUUCCAACGAUGAACUCUGCGUGGCUAAGUUUGAUUCUGCUGGGAAAUCUUGUGCGACGCAAAAGUGAAACGGACCAAAAUAUUAACCGUUCAAUUUGAACUCGUUAUAUCGGAUUUAUCAUGAUCUAGUGAUGAGUUUUGACUAUCUGGAAUACUCCACAUAAUUUAAGGCAAGAAUCGCACGAAUGUGCAUAGGAUAGUUCGUAAGAAUCGCUUUAUCGGCUUCCGUGACAACGAAUAAUCGUAAACUUUUGCCGACGGAACUGAUUCUCCAAACCGAUCAUCUGCCAACGUCAGUCAGAUAUCGACAGCAUAACAAAUAUUACAAUUUCUCAGAAUGAUAAUACGGUCCGACAUAACAGGGUUGUUAAGAAAAUCGUCGGUCGUAUAGCUAACGGGCCUGCGUAUGCCAUACAUCUAGUAAUGACACGAGUACCCAGAACAGUUAAACAAAUUACGUCAUUGGCCUGUGUUGGAUACUGACUAUGAAGUAACUGGAUAACCGAAAAUUCUAGUGUAUUCCUACCGGUUGAUGAAUCCUUCGAGUGAAUCCAUACAUUCGGAAUGUGAAACAAAUGAUUGAACAGGAAGAUCCGGUGGAAGCUUCAUGCAACCAUUUAUUCAAAAAAGUAAAGGCGGUGCGUGCCAAAUCUACAUGACUGUUAAGGUCAUUGGUAUGGCUGGCUUAAACGAUAGUGUUCGCUACAAAGAA